CUCCUCGGGCCCCGCCAGGGCUUCGGUACAACGCGGGGCCGUGUCCUCGCUGACAGGAGUCCAGGCUCCUCAGGACCUGUCCAGAGGUGCCGACGCGGGAGGAAAUUGUGAGGAGAAAGUGGGGAGACUUACUGGGCUUGCGCACACGCGUUUCCCGCGGGCUCGACUCUGCGCCCAGCUGAGAGCAGUUUGGUCUCCUCAGGCACCGCCGGGGCUUCGGCUGGGACGCCCGGGUCAGCGUCUCUGCUGACAGAACUCAGUCUCCUUAGGACUCGCCGGCGUUUCAGCUUUAGGACAACACGGGGCUGCGUCCACGCUGACGGGAGCUGGGUUUCCUGACGACCCAGGCGACGCCGGGAGGAAAAGGAUCUUAGUUCUCCAACCAGGGAUGGAACCUGUGCCCCCUGCAGUGGAAGCGCCAAGUUUUAACCACUGGACCUCCAGGGAAGUCCCGGAUUUGAAGAUACCAAGCCACCAAGACUUCCAAAUUACAUACCCUAACAAGUACCAGACUGAGUACAAGCUCAGGUCAUCCUGGUGAAAAUUCGAACUCUGCUGUUUCCUAAGUGUGAGAUCUG
Kogia breviceps (pygmy sperm whale) is the source of this 578-nucleotide non-coding RNA. Lineage: Eukaryota; Metazoa; Chordata; Mammalia; Artiodactyla; Physeteridae. The record is from RefSeq and is a predicted model, not a curated record.